CGCCACUGAAUCAACUGUAUUACGAUUUUUCUCCACGCUUAUCAUGCAUGAUAUUUCAGUUAAAAUUAUUUAAAGAAACGCGAGGCUUGCUGAGCUUUUUAACAUUUGACAUUUAACUUUUGAGAUUUAAAGUUUCAACAUGUCAAGGUUACAUUGAGUUUCAUAAUCUCAGACACAUGCACAGGUGUACAGGAUUUCGGACUCUUGGUUCUUUUGCUUCCUUAAAACAGCAACAUCUUAUCACGGAAAUCAUAACGGGAAAAGUCAUGGAUAUUGUGUACUAGGUGAAAUAUAUAAGUCAUUAAACAUUUACAAUGUUUGUGGCAUUACAAAUUUAAACAAACAAUAAACAACAAAAUAAAAAAAAAAUAGUAUACGAAAGUUAAUCAAAUAGACACAAAACCAUAAGUAAGAAAUUUAUAAUAUUACAAUAUUCAAUCUACAUGUACAUGUUACAAUUAGACCUAUUUCCUUAGUUCUAAAAUGACCCUUUAACAAAGAAGCCAAUAAUUCUAACAUGUCUAAACGAAGCGGGGUUUAAUGUAUAAAAUAAUUUUUGAUUAUCAGGUAAAUGCAUAAAAUGUUCCUCAUCUAAUAUACACCAUAUGCAGGUGUUGCUGGGAUUAGAAGUAAUCAUUAAAUUUCAUAAAUUACAAUUAAAUUACAAUAUAGUUCCGAAAAAUAUAUUCAUAGAAUUUGUCAUAACUAUCUUACUGAAAUUGUAAACUUUAUUUGGUAUACUUGAACAAACAAGAUAUUUUAAAGUGAACACCCUUGGGUUAUUUUCUCUUUGACACAUUCCCCAUUUCCAUUCUCAAUUUUACCCUAAAAAAAAUUAAAAGAAAAUUAGAGGAAAAUCUUCCCCGUAAGCAGCCCUCCUCUUUGAAAAAGAAAGAUGUGUGCUUCAAGUGAAUCCUACACGGAAUAUCAAAACUUAAAAGUGUCAGCCCUGUCGACUAUAGCUUGAAACAUCUGAUUAGUUUGUAAUUUUAAAUGUCAGGCAAUCAACAUGUGCCGAGAGAUUCAUGUUGCUUUUUAACCAUGUUAAUAUUGUGAUAAUGAAUGGGGAUUGUACACAUGCAGUAUGAGUCAGAAAACAUAAAAACCCACGAUUAUAUUUAAACGCAAUUAUUCUAAGCAUAAUUUGCCUAAUUCUCAUGUUCGAUUACGAUCUUGAUUGUUUUCCUGUCGAAGGUCGGAGGUUCUUGAAAUAUUUCGGCUACCAACACUAAUAUAAAGUUACCUCCAUUAUGUAACCAAGAGUGGUAUUAAACAGCAACGAUCAAUCAAUAAUCUUAGAUACAAAUUUGAACAACAAUGUUAUAUAAUUACAUCUUGGUGUACACAUUAGUCAUAAUUGUCUUUGAUUUAUCUUUCAGAAACUACGAGUACUUUGAGUAUCAGUUGUUUGGUUGUUGAAAUUAUAUUAUUAUAUUUAUAAUCACAAACUAAAGGAAGAUAAAUAAUAGAUAUGAAUAAACAAAAAGGAACGAACAGUACACAACACACCGCAAUGGAAUAUUGGCUGAGUACCAUUUGAUUCAUAUCCAUUAUCAAAAGAAAUGCGAUAGAUAGAAAAGAGAUGUUCAAACUUAUAGGUCAAAAACAAACUAAAAAUGCCAUGGCAAAAACGAAAAACAACAGUACACAAAAAUGAAAACCAAAAAAGAAAAGAACACUUGAGCAAAGUUUUCGAAGAUUUUUUUUAUAGUAACAACCGUUAGAUAAAUAUCUAGUAUUGUAAAUUUUGAAGGAAUUUGAUGGAAUAGAAUCUCAUUCUAAUUAUGGAAACAUGGAUGGAC
RNAcentral lists this long non-coding RNA (1802 nucleotides) under Mytilus galloprovincialis (Mediterranean mussel). The record is from RNAcentral. Lineage: Eukaryota; Metazoa; Mollusca; Bivalvia; Mytilida; Mytilidae.